CCUACGGGAGGCAGCAGUGAGGCAUAUUGGUCAAUGGACGAGAGUCUGAACCAGCCAAGUAGCGUGAAGGAUGACUGCCCUAUGGGUUGUAAACUUCUUUUAUAUGGGACUAAAAUGUUCCACGUGUGGGAUUUUGUAUGUACCAUAUGAAUAAGAAUCGGCUAACUCCGUGCCAGCAGCUGCGGUAAUACGGGUGAUCCGAGCGUUAUCCGGAUUUAUGGGGUUUCAAGGUAGAGUAGGUGGAUUGUUAAGUCAGUUGUGAAAGUUUGCUGCUCAACCGUAAAAUUGCAGUUGAUACUGGCAGUCGUGAGUACAGGAGAGGUGGGCAGAAUUCGUAGUGUAGCGGUGAAAUG
This 353-nucleotide ribosomal RNA is filed under the name uncultured bacterium. RNAcentral describes it as "partial 16S ribosomal RNA". It matches the Rfam family "Bacterial small subunit ribosomal RNA", at positions 338 to 688 of the family's 1533-position model. The record is from RNAcentral.